RNAcentral lists this ribosomal RNA (497 nucleotides) under uncultured bacterium. RNAcentral's name for it is "partial 16S ribosomal RNA". It matches the Rfam family "Bacterial small subunit ribosomal RNA", at positions 28 to 507 of the family's 1533-position model. The record is from RNAcentral.
GAUGAACGCUGGCGGCGUGCCUAAUACAUGCAAGUCGAGCGAACGGAUGAGGAGCUUGCUCCUCUGACGUUAGCGGCGGACGGGUGAGUAACACGUGGAUAACCUACCUAUAAGACUGGGAUAACUUCGGGAAACCGGAGCUAAUACCGGAUAAUAUAUUGAACCGCAUGGUUCAAUAGUGAAAGACGGUUUUGCUGUCACUUAUAGAUGGAUCCGCGCUGCAUUAGCUAGUUGGUAAGGUAACGGCUUACCAAGGCAACGAUGCGUAGCCGACCUGAGAGGGUGAUCGGCCACACUGGAACUGAGACACGGUCCAGACUCCUACGGGAGGCAGCAGUAGGGAAUCUUCCGCAAUGGGCGAAAGCCUGACGGAGCAACGCCGCGUGAGUGAUGAAGGUCUUCGGAUCGUAAAACUCUGUUAUUAGGGAAGAACAAAUGUGUAAGUAACUAUGCACGUCUUGACGGUACCUAAUCAGAAAGCCACGGCUAACUACGUG